CUGGGAGGUGAAAAUUUCACAGGGAUGGCAACAGAUCCAAGUGCUUUGGUUUCAGCCGAUCUCCAAGCGUUCCUGACCAAGGCAAAGGGGACUCUCUCCACAAGAAAACUGCCAUAGCUUGUAUCACUCUUUAAUACUCAAAGGAUUUUCAGAGGGAGACCAGAUUGAUUGAAGCAAAAAAAAAAAAAAAAAAGGCCAAGAGUAGAAGAGGAGAAUUGUAUAGACUCGGGAGACUGGGACAGCUGAGAAAAUCACAAUUAAAAAAUC
Molecule: long non-coding RNA, 267 nt
Organism: Physeter macrocephalus (sperm whale)
Lineage: Eukaryota; Metazoa; Chordata; Mammalia; Artiodactyla; Physeteridae
Exons: 3
Source: RefSeq, a predicted model, not a curated record